UUAAAAGAAAGGAAAAACACGCCUAAGCUGAUAUAGGCUACAGCAGUCGGCUUAAUUAAAUAGCACAACAGGCAGCUCUCUUUUAACACAGACUUUUAAGAAGGGAUGGAUGUUUGCUUCAAGUGAUAGGCCAGUUUCUCUGACGCUGUCAAAAUUUGCCGGGUGACGGUGGAUGCAAUGUGACUCCUGAUUAGUUGCUCUGGCAACCUCGGGAAUGUUCACUGGUGGCCAUGGCAACGACUGAAGCAUGGCGAUGGAGCCCUACAGAUUAUUUAGAUUUAGAAUGGGAAAGAGAAUAUAGAGGCAGACUGGCAUGCCACAAUGUCAUCACGGAGAUGAUGUCGCUCUUCAAUAAUACUGAUACAUUACUGACAUCUGCUGUGACUCAUUGUGACACCAUUUAAAGCACUGGCACAGCAAUAGUCAGGAAUCAUCCAGACAUCCAUCCUGAGGCAAUAAGGGUAGAGUCAUGGUUCAAAUAAAGUCCCAUUCUGUUCAGCGACUUGAU
Long non-coding RNA from Cyprinus carpio carpio, 508 nucleotides. Lineage: Eukaryota; Metazoa; Chordata; Actinopteri; Cypriniformes; Cyprinidae. The record is from Ensembl.